AUGGCUAAAUGGCAUGAAAAGCAUUGUCAAGGCUUGUAUAGAUGUGUUCAGGAUGCCAUGGGUCUCUGGGAUGUCCAUCAACUCCAACUGUCCCAGCAGGAAGAUGUACUUAAAAAAAAAACAGAUGAAUGCAGAUGGGAGCAAGAUAACAUAAUACAGAUGAUGAAAGAUGAUCUGGAUACAAUUUUAGAAAAAAUGAAAAUGGCGAGCUGUGAAGAAGAGCUGAAGGAAUAUUUGGAGAACGCCCUUUCUUCUUUAGAUCAAAUUAAAACAAGGAAUGAGACACUCAAGCAAAUUGUAAUGGAUGAAAUAAUGGCUUACCCAAAAGCCAUUUUGUGGGAAUUGAUUUCUUAUAGUAUGUCCAUCAGCCAGCAUUUUAGUGUGAAGGAAAUCUUCAAACAGGUAAAAAGAAAAUUUCCUUUGGUUUAAAACCUUACUGGUGUAUUAAUUUUUCACUUUAGAGAAAAUUUUCAUUACCUUUAAAAUUCAGAUUAUAAAAAGUAUUGUUUUCAGCCAUUGAAUAAAGUGCUUUUGGUAGAGAUAGGAGAGGAAAACCAAAACAUUUCUCAGUCCCACACUUUUAACUCUGUCCUUGUUACAAACGGCAUUUUAGCAAAUUAAUUUGCCUUUUGAACCGAAAACUACAAGGUAACAAGCUUACCAUUAUCGAUUUGAGUGUUACAGGUUCUUUAGACAGUAAAUGAUCUAUUCAAGAUUAUAUCUUACUGAAAUAGAGACGUUUUCAGAAGGGAUGUGGAUUUCUUAUAAGAAAGCAAAUCCAUAUUUUAAAAUGCUGUGAUGGGUGUUUUUUGUUGUUGUUUUGCUUUUAGAACUUGCAAGGUACGAUAGACUUCAUAGUUCAAGAUCAAAAUAAUACCACAACAGUCCGAACAGGUAUUUCUUCUUGGCUGUUUUUCAAUCUGUAUAUUUGGGUUGUAACCAGUAGAACUCUGCUUUAACUGUAGAUGGAUAGUUGAGGCUUCAGAAGCUGAACAUAUGGUGGAACAGCAAGCUGAGAGCAUUGUGCAAGGAGGGGAAAGAGAGGAAAAUCAUAGAGUUUCCUGAGUUGGAAGGGACCCAUAGGGAUCAUGAAAGUCCAGCUCCUGGCCCUGCACAGACACUCCAAUAAUCCCACCCUCUGCAUCCCUGAGAGCAUUGUCCAAACACUCCUGGAUCUCUGCCAGCCUUGGGGCUGUGCCCAUUCCCUGGAGAACUUGUUCAGUACCUGACCAUCCUCUGAGGGAAAAAUCUUUCCCUGAUACCCAGCCUAAUCCUCCCCUGACACAGCUCCUGACACAUUCCCUUGGGUCAUGUAUCUGGUCACAGAGAAAAGAGAUCAGAGCUAUCUCUCUGCAGCCCUUGAGAGGAGCUGCAGACUUCAGUGAGGUGUGACCUCAGUCUCCUCUCUCCAGCUGAACCAAAUGCCCUCAGCCACUCUUUGUAUGGUUUCUGCUCCAGACCCUUCACUAUCUCUGUGUCCUUCCUUUGGACAUUUCUCUGAUAGCUUUAGGUCUUUCUGACAUUAUGGAAUCCAAAAUUGUCCCCAGGGCUUGAAGAGAGCGCAUCCCAGCCCAGAGCAGAGCAGGACAAUGACCUUUCUCGACUGGUGCCAGAAGAUAGGGACAGUUGUCAAAAAUCAGCUGGAGAAACAAGUCUAACAGAGAAACAGAUGAUCUUGGCACAGGAAAUUGAAGAAACAGAGGAAGAAGAAGAUGAGGAGAGUAUUCCUUAUAAAAGUGAAAAAAAUGAGCAUGCAGAACAGCAACUAAGCAUUAUGCAGGUAACUGAGCAAGAGAAUAAGUUUGAAGGUGAAGGCAGUCUUGUCCAAAAUAAGGAGGAAUAGGAGGUCUUUUUGCUGAGAAUGAAUAGAGAAGUCCUUUUUUGUUUAGUUUGUAUGCAAAGCACACUGGGCUCUAGAUCCUUUUAUGGGAAAAUGGAGUGUAUCAAAUUCACAACCAUUCUUCUUGGUCUUUUACCCUGGUAGAAACUCUUUGCAUAAUUUUUUUAAUCUAUCUUUCAUCACAGUGUUCUCAGUCUGUGGUGAAUGAUUUAAACUAAGUAUUUGUACCUAAGUAUUAGUUUUUCAAUUUCCAUGAAUUUAUUUAUAUUUUAUUACCAUAACAAAAACCUUUUAAAACAUUGUUGACUCUGCCUAUGUCCUGCUGGCAUAUAUAAAUAUAUGAAUAUAUAAGCAUAUAAGCAUAUAAAUAUCUAAAUAGAUAACUAUAUACAAGUAUACAUAUAUACAUAUAUACAUAUAUACAUAUAUACAUAUAUACAUAUAUACAUAUAUAUAUAAAUAUAUAUAAAUAUUGCCAGCACUGUGUAAAUGUCCAAAUUAACAGUGAGAACAUCAUUCUAAAUAUCCUUAGGAUUCCUACACUAGCUGGUGCAGUGUUGAUUCUAUGCUGAUAUCUUUAAAAGUAAAGUGGUAAUUUCCAGUCGUUUCCCAGUCAGCAUCUAAGAGCAGCAAGGCAGAAAGUGCUGAAAUUGUCACGGAGGUUUUUUCCACUGGUAAUGGAAACACUUACACUGUUCUUGGAGUUGAAGAGGCAGGAAAGACUGACAUCACAGAGAGUUAUUUUACAAAAUAUGAAAAAGGAGAAUCACUUCCUAUGUACCUGAAAUACGCACAUCUCACAGAAGCCAUGUUUGUCAAGCUGAAUAAAAGGCAAGUAGAAAACAAUUUCUGUUCUUUCUUUCUCUUUAUGUAAUAGACAAAUUUCAGCUAUUUAGUAGAAACAUUAGACUACCGAGGAAA
This is a long non-coding RNA of Ficedula albicollis (Collared flycatcher), 2761 nucleotides long. The record is from Ensembl. NCBI's taxonomy places the organism in Eukaryota, Metazoa, Chordata, Aves, Passeriformes, Muscicapidae.